Molecule: ribosomal RNA, 493 nt
Filed under: uncultured bacterium
Lineage: Bacteria
Description: partial 16S ribosomal RNA
Rfam family: Bacterial small subunit ribosomal RNA
Source: RNAcentral
ACGAACGCUGGCGGCGCGCUUAACACAUGCAAGUCGAACGGAAAGGCCUGCUUUCCCUUGUGGAUUGCGGGUCCUCGAGUGGCGAACGGGUGAGUAACACGUGAGUGAUCUGCCCCCAACUUGGGUAUAAGCCUGGGAAACUGGGUCUAAUUCCCGAUAGGACUGCAGGGUGGUGCCUGUGGUGGAAAACGAUUUUCUAGUGGUUGGGGAUGAGCUCGCGGCCUAUCAGCUUGUUGGUGGGGUAAUGGCCUACCAAGGCGGCGACGGGUAUCCGGCCGGAGAGGGUGGACGGCGGAAUUGGGACAGGGUUCAGGCCCCGACGCCAAGGGGAGGCAGGAGUGGGGAGUCAAGCAGCAGGGGCGGAAGCCUGAUGCAGCGAGGGCGUGUGGGGGAUGACGGGAUUCGGGUUGUAAACUACUUGCGAGCGAGAGGAAGCAACCUGGAUGGAAGGGUGGUGACGGUAGUGGUAGAAGAAGCACCGGCUAACUACGUG